GUUUUUGUGGGAGAGUUAGGGACCUUCCAAAACCAUGAAGCUGUCACCUUCUUCCUUCCUUUGCCUAAUUUUUAAAUGAUCACAGGCUGCUCCAGCAACGAUGCGUGUCAAGAAUGUAUGGGGAGACUGGAAGAACAGACAUGAAGCUACUGCUAUGGUGAGGGAAAAGGAAAGAGAAAACAAAAGGAAAUUGGCUUUCAGUGCCUUGAAUGUGAAU
Molecule: long non-coding RNA, 217 nt
Filed under: Homo sapiens (human)
Lineage: Eukaryota; Metazoa; Chordata; Mammalia; Primates; Hominidae
Description: HSALNT0323094
Source: RNAcentral